This 90-nucleotide transfer RNA is filed under the name Bacteroidota bacterium. RNAcentral's name for it is "Bacteroidetes bacterium (anaerobic digester metagenome) tRNA-Leu". It matches the Rfam family "tRNA". From Rfam's summary of the family: Transfer RNA (tRNA) molecules are approximately 80 nucleotides in length. Their secondary structure includes four short double-helical elements and three loops (D, anti-codon, and T loops). Further hydrogen bonds mediate the characteristic L-shaped molecular structure. tRNAs have two regions of fundamental functional importance: the anti-codon, which is responsible for specific mRNA codon recognition, and the 3' end, to which the tRNAs corresponding amino acid is attached (by aminoacyl-tRNA synthetases). tRNAs cope with the degeneracy of the genetic code in two manners: having more than one tRNA (with a specific anti-codon) for a particular amino acid; and 'wobble' base-pairing, i.e. permitting non-standard base-pairing at the 3rd anti-codon position. The record is from RNAcentral. Lineage: Bacteria; Pseudomonadati; Bacteroidota.
AUCCGGAUGGUGGAACUGGUAGACACGCAGGACUUAAAAUCCUGUGGACCUUAAACGUCCGUGUGGGUUCGAUUCCCACUCCGGGUACAA